GGGGGGGCCGGAGGAGGCAGGAUCCGCCGCGGGGGACUCCCUGGGAUCCCAGGUGAGUCUCCCCAACCGCAAUCACCGGCGUGGGAUCGCCAGCGAUCGGUAAGUAACAGAAACUAGAGGGCGUAUUAUUACGCCCUGCGGCGUUUAGAGACGCUUAGAAUAGGGCGUAAUAGUACGCCCUCCAGUUUUAAGGGGUUAAAAGUGAACUUAAAUACAUUUAACAUUCUGAAACAUGUACAGUUAUUGCUUUCUUAUAUUCUAUUCCCAUACGCACAUUUUGAAGUUCGCUUUUAAUCACAGGUUUGGCAUAUGUUAUAUAAUAAGGUUUUUAAAACAUUAACACUUUGCAAACUACAACUUUUUUUUUUAAUUUCUUUCACCUUUUGGGGUUUUAUUUGCAAGAGGGGCAAUAAAACCUUUUCUUUGAUUGCAAACAUUUGUCAUCUUUUUUUAACCCAACACAACUGAAGUGAAACCACAGCUUGAACGCAAAACAUUCCACCAUGGGAGUUUUUGACCUGUAAAUAUGACGCUUACAAUGAACUGUAAGUUCAACUCGCUUAAAAAAAAGCAACAAUUUUUUCUGGUGCAUUCAAUAUCUUGUGUGGAAACAUUAUCGUCUUUUCAGCAAGACUAUUAACUAAGUGGGUCCUCAUUUUACUUUGCUGUAGAUUCAGCAUGUUUAAAUCAAAUCUACUUGCAAGGGCUACAGCAUUAGCAAUCGCAAAUACUCCACAGUCACUGCCUCCCUCUUGCUUUUGAUGGCAAAUAUGGUCCAGUUUUAAGACCAUAUCAGCUCCACUCAAUAAAGGCCUGUCCAAUUUUACCAGUAGUUCUUUUAGUGUAUGUUGCAUUAGAGGAGUCAUACACUAUAACAGUAGUACUAUGUCUGUGAGAUACAACCCAAUGAUUGGACACAUGAUGAAUUUGCAGGGUUUGCUCACAUUCAGGUGCUUGGAGUAAUGUGUCAAUAUACAUUUAUAAUGUUGUCACCCAACCAGUUAUUUUUCUCAAUAUCCCAUUUGUCACUGUAAGUGAGCGAAAUAUUAUUUAUAGUCACCCAUUUAUCUGAUGGAUUUAAGUCAACCACUCUUGCAGAAGGAUCUUCACUACUUUCCCAAACAUCUUGUUUUUGCAUGUCCGCUUUGGACCCAAAUCGUUGUGAUCCUAGCGUUUUAGGCUUUCCAUAUGCUCUUGGUAAAGGCUUCAGAUUUUUCUAAAGUUUGGAUUUCUGGAGAGACUCAAGCAGAUGGAGUCCAUGGUCUACAGGUAUUUUAAGUUUUGCGCCUUGGAGCAGAUCUUUGAUUGAGGAAUCCAAUUCCCCAAGAUAAUCUUCAUCCUUGACUUAAUGCACAGAAUCCAAGAGACGCUUUAAAUUCUGUGUACAGCUACGCAGUAAUGUAACGCUUUGCUCUCCUGCAUGGUGGAAGUGGAGUAAAAUUUUCAAGGUGGAAUAAGGUAGGGCUAUUAAAAUCUGGAAUUUCUGUUCCUAGCUUGUGCUCAAAAUGCAAUAAUAAAAAAAUAAAAAAACAUUCUAAAUCGAAAGAGAACAGGGGAUUACUUGAAUAUGAUAAAUAGAGCUCUUCACAUUCCUAUCCAUCCACAAAUUUAAAAAUGCAGCACAUGUGCUUACAAGGUAAGGAAUGUUUUUGCCAAUCCUCACAUGUGAUUAUUGGUACAUUUCCAGAACAAUUAACGGUAUAUUCUUGAGAUUUUUGUGAUUUGCUUUUUCCUUUCAACAGUCCUACUGUGUAGUUGACAUUGGUGAUAUCAUCCAAAAAUGCAGGAACAACUUUAUAUCGCCAGUACAGUUCAGAACUUUGUGAAUUCCUUUGCACAUAUCUGAAAAAUAGUUUUAAAAAUGUAAAUAUCAAAUUCAACCAUGUUUACUACAGGCU
This 1898-nucleotide long non-coding RNA is filed under the name Pelobates cultripes (western spadefoot toad). Lineage: Eukaryota; Metazoa; Chordata; Amphibia; Anura; Pelobatidae. The record is from RNAcentral.